This 470-nucleotide ribosomal RNA is filed under the name uncultured bacterium. RNAcentral's name for it is "bacterial SSU rRNA". It matches the Rfam family "Bacterial small subunit ribosomal RNA", at positions 27 to 518 of the family's 1533-position model. The record is from RNAcentral.
GGACGAACGCUGGCGGCGUGCUUCAUACAUGCAAGUCGAACGAGAAGCUGACUUCGGUCAGUGGAAAGUGGCGGACGGGUGAGUAAUAUGUAGAGAAUCUGCCCUUGAGAGGGGGACAACAGUUGGAAACGACUGCUAAUACCCCAUAUGAGCGUAGCUGAAAUGCUAUUCUUGAAAACUCCGGUGCUCAAGGAUGAGUCUGCAUCUGAUUAGCUAGUUGGUGGUGUAAUGGACUACCAAGGCGACGAUCAGUAGCUGGUUUGAGAGGAUGAUCAGCCACAAUGGGACUGAGACACGGCCCAUACUCCUACGGGAGGCAGCAGUAGGGAAUUUUGCGCAAUGGGGGAAACCCUGACGCAGCAACGCCGCGUGAACGAGACGCCCUUCGGGGUGUAAAGUUUUGUCAGUGGGGACGAACAAAUGACGGUACCCACAGAGGAAGCACCGGCUAACUCCGUGCCAGCAGCAGC